Molecule: long non-coding RNA, 1513 nt
Filed under: Struthio camelus australis
Lineage: Eukaryota; Metazoa; Chordata; Aves; Struthioniformes; Struthionidae
Description: lncRNA (ENSSCUG00000002299.1)
Source: RNAcentral
CCAGCAGCAAGCUACCACAGAAAAAAAGCAUAUGUCCUCUUUCAAAAGAAAAAUCUGCCUUUUUACAGCUACAGAGAAUUGAAAGCAAACUUGAUCAUCAAAUGUGGAGUUGUGCCAAAUCACAGGCAGCCAGAAGAAAGCUCUGGCAUGAAGAAAGCUCUGAAGGUGAGAAGAAUGGAGAUGAAACAGCUUGGAAUGAGAAAAAGAGCAACGAGAUUCCUCCAGCCUGCAGGGGAAACUGUGCCACCCUGUCUCCUGCUUGGUCGCAGGCCUGUUUCUCCGAGAGCGCUGCUGCGAGCUCUGGCUCGUCCAGAACGACGCCUCUCUCCCACGAGGGACACUCGCUGUCAGCACCCUCCACUCCUACUGGGAGGGAAGCUGAGGAUGGAGAAGGCACAGCUGGCACAUGGUCUCCUGCAAAGAGCCUGUACUCACCAAGAAUGGACAACUUCAGGGACCACACAAAUUCAAGGAGGAGUCAAAUAGUACAAAUGGGAAAACCUCCCUGCUCUCUGCAUCACCCAUCCCAUUCCCCUGCAGGGAGCAGUCCGCUCUCUGCUGUGGCACCCGGCAGUGGGAGCAAUGAUCCUGUGCCCACGGCAGUGCUGCUUCCCACGUGCUGCCUUCCACCAGGCAGCAGGCCCAGCGAUUGCAAGCUGGAGGAGGCAUGGAAAAAAUCACCCAAGCAGAAAUUAGAGCAGCUCAAGGAGAGAAUCCGGGAGCAGAAGCAACACCAGCAAGCGGCAGCUCAGGAGCAGAAGUGCCUGAAUGCCACCUAUGCCAAGGAGCCACGGCAAAAGCGAAUGGUGCGCAAAGUUGUUUCUGCUCCUCCUGCUCCAGCUUACAGAGGUUUUAGUGCUGCGAGUCUGAGGUCUGCUCUUUUCUUGCCUGAUGAAGCGCGUGGAAUACCACAGAGAGAAGAAUUUAGCAUGCCUGGAGGACAGCGAGGUUAUAAAAAAGCCCUCAAGAUCCCAGGUAUGAAGCUACCUGGAGCUUCUGCAUGGAGAGAAGAGCCUGGUAGAGGAUUGGUAGCAAUGCCAGCGAUGGAACAGAGCUAUAGAGAAAGGGGAAAUGAACCUCUGGGGAAAAGCCCUGAAUUCAAAAGCUGCAUGGUACCCCCCCGCACGCCUGUUGAAAGGGGCAGAAAUACACCAGGCGAGGAUACAAAGCAAAUACUCAGGAACCUACAUCUGCAAAGCAAACAUCAUGAUGAACACAGAAAUGCCAGGCUCCCAAAAGAUACUGCAAAAGGAAAGCUAGAAGAUCUGCAGCAGUGCAUAGGGAUCAAUUCUCCUUCACCUGGAGUUCAGGUCAUGACUCCCUCUGCCUUCAGUGGAGAAAAGACGAGAUCUUCAUUAAUGAGAGCUGAAACUGAGUACAGAAACUGCAGCAGAGGAAAUAGCACAUCUCCUCAAAGACAGAAAGGCUCAAGGAGCCCGGCACAGAAAGAGUCUGAAAAGGAAAAUCUUAAUCACCCUUCAAGGAGGAGGGCAAACAUGAAAAAACCUCACCC